Molecule: long non-coding RNA, 269 nt
Filed under: Mytilus galloprovincialis (Mediterranean mussel)
Lineage: Eukaryota; Metazoa; Mollusca; Bivalvia; Mytilida; Mytilidae
Source: RNAcentral
UUUUUGUGCUACUUUGUUACAUUUGUUGUUUAUGUAGUGAUAUUAAGAUGAUAACACAAUAUUGAAUGUUGUACCCCUAUUUUUGACAUUUUUACUCUUUGAGUAUGUUUGUUUUGUUCAUGCAUCGUUGACAAUGUAAUGGAAUUUGAUGCGACUAUCAUACAAGUGAGAGGUUUAGCUAGCUAUAAAACCAGGUUCAAUCCACCAUUUUCUACAUUAGAAAAUGCCUGUACCAAGUCAGGAAUAUGACAGUUGUUAUCCAUUCGUUU